RNAcentral lists this long non-coding RNA (479 nucleotides) under Manacus vitellinus (golden-collared manakin). RNAcentral describes it as "lncRNA (ENSMVIG00005002818.1)". Lineage: Eukaryota; Metazoa; Chordata; Aves; Passeriformes; Pipridae. The record is from RNAcentral.
UUUAGAAAAUCGGAGUCCUUAGCCACAUUUGCUUUCAUACUUCUUUUUAUUUAUUCCUUUUCAGAAUCCAUAAUUCAUGUCCCCCUAUAAAACAGAAGGACAAAGAGAGACAAACCCAUGUUCCAUAAAAGCUCUUAGAAACCCUGCUGGAGACAAAUCCUGGGCUCGGUGCACAUUUGGUGUGAUCAGCUGUGGCUCUCAGUAUUCUAACACUCAUCAUGUGCCUCACUGGUGUCAGGAGAGAUUUGGGCUGUGUACUAAUGGCUGUGGAGCUUGAUGGGCAUGUUGGUGGGAGUUGACUGAACGGAUUUAGCAGGUGAUGAAGUCAGCUUCCUCUAGACUCACCUUAGUUGCUUCCCCUCCUUGAUGAACCUUUUCCUUUAAGUCACCCUGGGAAGCAGCACUACUGGGAAGCAGCUCCUCCUGCAAGAGAUGAGCAUUCAUGUCAUGACACUGCUGAGGAUUCACAGUACAUCUAC